CGGCGGACGGGUGAGUAACGCGUGGGUAACCUGCCUCGUACAGGGGGAUAACAGUUGGAAACGGCUGCUAAUACCGCAUAAGCGCACAGUACCGCAUGGUACGGCGUGAAAAACUCCGGUGGUAUGAGAUGGACCCGCGUCUGAUUAGGUAGUUGGUGGGGUAACGGCCUACCAAGCCGACGAUCAGUAGCCGACCUGAGAGGGUGACCGGCCACAUUGGGACUGAGACACGGCCCAA
This 238-nucleotide ribosomal RNA is filed under the name uncultured bacterium. Its description in RNAcentral is "partial 16S ribosomal RNA". It matches the Rfam family "Bacterial small subunit ribosomal RNA", at positions 96 to 334 of the family's 1533-position model. The record is from RNAcentral.